Molecule: long non-coding RNA, 786 nt
Organism: Acomys russatus (golden spiny mouse)
Lineage: Eukaryota; Metazoa; Chordata; Mammalia; Rodentia; Muridae
Exons: 3
Source: RefSeq, a predicted model, not a curated record
GUCCCCUAGCCAGGGGGCAGAAAGAUCCCCUUGGGGCACUGAGAGGCAAACCAACCGGCUCAGAGGAAGUGACUGGCAUUCUACUGGAUGAAGGCAAGGAGAGGAAGGAAGAGCUCCUAUUACAGGCCAUGAAAAUACUCAGGCAGGUGCACUGGUCCUUGUGUUACAGGGUGAUGGAAAUGAACUGGGAAGCAGGAUGCUUUAAAAAGCAACAGAUGCCUUCGUCAACCAAAUUCAAAGGGAGAACUAUAAGGGCCCUCUAUAAAUACACCCAGAGUGUGUGGGUCUGAAUUGAACACUCUGGCGAGACACCAACUUUCUCAGGAAGAAAGAGAUCAGUUGCAAUAUAACACAACUUGCAAUUCCUUUCCAAACUUCUGGUGCUUUUGCUUUGGGAAAAAAAAUUAAAAGUGCUGCUGUUCAUCAUUGCUAGCCAAAAGCAUUUAUAGAUUAUGGAUUCUUUUAUUGAAAAUGAAGCAUUCAACAAGCAAGGUAUGCGUUCUUAAAGGUUAUAAAGCAUAAACCAACUUACAGCAGGAACAUAAUACAUAUUAUUUGAUUUUGACAGCUGCUUUUUUCUAGGUAAUUUGUGUUAUUUCAUAUAUUAUUUUCUAUUAAACAUAGAGUCAUUAAACACACCCACACAAAAACUUUAACUUAGCCUAGGCAUGCUGAUGCAUGUCUCUAAUUCCAGCAUUCAGGAAGCCGAGGCAGGUGGAUCUCUGAGUCUGAGGCUAGCCAGGUCUAUAAAAAGAGUUUCAGGCUAGCCAGAAUACCCUGUCUCAA